Molecule: long non-coding RNA, 102 nt
Organism: Sapajus apella (tufted capuchin)
Lineage: Eukaryota; Metazoa; Chordata; Mammalia; Primates; Cebidae
Exons: 3
Source: RefSeq, a predicted model, not a curated record
GCUUGGUACAACCUCCAAGGGGCCAGGUGAGUCCUGAGUUGGUGCCAAAGUAUAGAGUAGGAGUUCCUUGGGCAAUAAGGAAAGCCAGUCACUUCCCAGGGG